This 397-nucleotide ribosomal RNA is filed under the name uncultured bacterium. RNAcentral describes it as "bacterial SSU rRNA". It matches the Rfam family "Bacterial small subunit ribosomal RNA", at positions 64 to 507 of the family's 1533-position model. The record is from RNAcentral.
GAACGCCCCGCAAGGGGAGUGGCAGACGGGUGAGUAACGCGUGGGAAUCUACCCANGUUCUUGCGGAAUAACACAGGGAAACUUGUGCUAAUACCGGAUACGCCCUACGGGGGAAAGAUUUAUCGGGAUUGGAUGAGCCCGCGUUGGAUUAGCUAGUUGGUGGGGUAAUGGCCUACCAAGGCGACGAUCCAUAGCUGGUCUGAGAGGAUGAUCAGCCACACUGGGACUGAGACACGGCCCAGACUCCUACGGGAGGCAGCAGUGGGGAAUAUUGGACAAUGGGCGAAAGCCUGAUCCAGCCAUGCCGCGUGAGUGAUGAAGGCCUUAGGGUUGUAAAGCUCUUUCAGUGGGGAAGAUAAUGACGGUACCCACAGAAGAAGCCCCGGCUAACUUCGUG